Molecule: ribosomal RNA, 390 nt
Filed under: Triticum aestivum (bread wheat)
Lineage: Eukaryota; Viridiplantae; Streptophyta; Magnoliopsida; Poales; Poaceae
Description: partial small subunit ribosomal RNA
Source: RNAcentral
AUGGCCGGCGCAUCAUCACGACUUCUGAUUUUUCUCAUAUUUUUACAUGGGAACAGGGGAGCUUUGGAGCUUGUGUCUAGACUACAAUCUAACCAUCAAAAUAGGCAGCAGCUUCAUCCGCCUAUAGUGAAGUACUCCUGGACCAUGAUCCAUCCCUUGCGAAAAUGUUUGGCCAAUCAAAAUGUGACUCCUCUGAUAACUGCGGUGAUUAGAGGCCACCUCAAGGUAGUGAACCUUCUGCUGGAGCAAGUUUCUGGGUUGAUUGAACUACCAAAGGCAAACAGAACAACAAUUGCACAUACCCUUUAUUUUCCUGGUACAAGGAGUCUCCAGACACGACAAAGUAUGUAUCUACAUCUGAAAAUUUUCUUAGCUUUUCCAGAAAUAUGA